Molecule: non-coding RNA, 160 nt
Filed under: Inquilinus sp.
Lineage: Bacteria; Pseudomonadati; Pseudomonadota; Alphaproteobacteria; Rhodospirillales; Rhodospirillaceae
Description: 6S RNA
Rfam family: 6S / SsrS RNA
About the family: E. coli 6S RNA was the first non coding RNA to be sequenced, but its function was unknown until recently. It consists of 184 nucleotides that fold into an extended hairpin structure with a large single-stranded internal bulge. The 6S RNA specifically associates with RNA polymerase holoenzyme containing the sigma70 specificity factor.
Source: RNAcentral
GCGGGGCUGCCCGGUGCGUCAGGCCUGCAUAUCCCCGGGGCCGAUAAGAACCUCUAGGGAGCUGUCCCUGCCGGGACCCUGGUUCCGGUAUAUGGCACCCACCUGCUGGAGCAGGGCCCACGAGGAGAUACUAAUGGCCAACGGCCGAGGCGGCUCCGCC